This 497-nucleotide ribosomal RNA is filed under the name uncultured bacterium. RNAcentral describes it as "partial 16S ribosomal RNA". It matches the Rfam family "Bacterial small subunit ribosomal RNA", at positions 28 to 507 of the family's 1533-position model. The record is from RNAcentral.
GAUGAACGCUGGCGGCGUGCCUAAUACAUGCAAGUCGAGCGAACGGAUGAGAAGCUUGCUUCUCUGAUGUUAGCGGCGGACGGGUGAGUAACACGUGGAUAACCUACCUAUAAGACUGGGAUAACUUCGGGAAACCGGAGCUAAUACCGGAUAAUAUUUUGAACCGCAUGGUUCAAAAGUGAAAGACGGUCUUGCUGUCACUUAUAGAUGGAUCCGCGCUGCAUUAGCUAGUUGGUAAGGUAACGGCUUACUAAGGCAACGAUGCAUAGCCGACCUGAGAGGGUGAUCGGCCACACUGGAACUGAGACACGGUCCAGACUCCUACGGGAGGCAGCAGUAGGGAAUCUUCCGCAAUGGGCGAAAGCCUGACGGAGCAACGCCGCGUGAGUGAUGAAGGUCUUCGGAUCGUAAAACUCUGUUAUUAGGGAAGAACAUAUGUGUAAGUAACUGUGCACAUCUUGACGGUACCUAAUCAGAAAGCCACGGCUAACUACGUG